Molecule: non-coding RNA, 30 nt
Filed under: Mus musculus (house mouse)
Lineage: Eukaryota; Metazoa; Chordata; Mammalia; Rodentia; Muridae
Source: RNAcentral
ACCUCAAAGGUGUCACUGGGGCAUAUUUGG